RNAcentral lists this long non-coding RNA (540 nucleotides) under Cricetulus griseus (Chinese hamster). RNAcentral's name for it is "lncRNA (ENSCGRG00015032168.1)". Lineage: Eukaryota; Metazoa; Chordata; Mammalia; Rodentia; Cricetidae. The record is from RNAcentral.
GCCACUGGAAGUAGAACUCGAAUUUAUCUUUAUUCCAUGAAAUGGCUUUUUGAAUCCCUUUCAAUAUGCAGGGUUACUUUUUCAACCUAGAUACUGCAGAGAGGGCCUUGGUUCUGCAAAAAAAAAUGUGAAAGUCUUUGAUGAUGCCCCACUGGAGGCCUCACCUUCUCUGAAGACUGGUGCUCCUGUGCCAACGAUACUGUCUCCUUAGUUUUGUGCUCAACAACCCAGAUCAGGGUACAAAUGGAAACUGCAAUAUUUCUUGUGAAUGGAUUGCUGGCAGUGUCCUCCAAUCCUUCAUAUGCUCACUAUGAUUGGGAUCUGCGAACUCUAUCUAGAGUGGAUUCCAGUGGCAUGGACAACAAUACAGAACUUUGAGUGAACUACAAAUGCCAAAAGAACUCCUGGUGGAGCAAAAGGUUUGCACCUCACCCUCCAAGGAGAGGCAUCAUCACAAACACCUCUCUCACUUUUGGUACCUGAUAGGACCUCUCCUACACUGUUGUAGUAAACCUGUGUCUGUAUUGAAGAUGAAGGUAA